GAAGGAUUUUAAAGCUGAAGGGAACAGAAUUAGUCACCAUUUAGAUGUUCAUUGGGGUUUUUCGCCCCUUGCACAAUAUUUUUUAGUCCCCUGGGCACUUCUCUUAGUUUGAAUUAUGAGUUAUGGAGUCCAUUUAUUCUUCUAUGCUAUAAACCCCAUAUUGAUUUCAUUAUACUGUGCUGAAACAUUCGGAUAACAAACAGGACAAGGAGAUAGAAGACAAAGCUGCUUUAUUUCUCCUCAUUCUUAGCGGCUAUGGGUGUUACUUUACAAAAUCAAAGUGUUUCCAGUGCUUUAUUUGUGUUUAUAAAUAGGGAUUUCCUAAUGUUUUCAGCACUUACAGGCUCUGACAUACAUGCUUUGUGCCAUGUGUUCUUACAGACCCGCGGUUGGACUACUGAACACAAACCAGCACAAGACCUUCCCUGGGGCACAGAUCUUAUUCUGGAAGUUAUCCCACAGUUUUCCCCCCGCCCUUUAUAGCUUGGAAAGCCCCAUUCAGGGCAAGCAGCAAGCUGCCAGAUGCAGGAGCAGCAGCAUGCUGGUCUGAUUCAUCAGCUGCAGUAUCUGGAGGCUGAUGUCAUGCCUAUUGUCCUGCCCGUAUUUAAUGGGGUUUGUGAUGGUCUGAGCUUUGUUUUUGACCUAGCAGAGGUAGGAAAGUCUUCACAUCAGGUUCAUUUAUGUAUUUCUAAUCAUCACAGUUCAAAUAAGCAAUGUAUUGCUCGGAACAGUGCUGUAACUCUUCAUUAAAUGCUCUUAUUAUCUUCCAGGUCAUAAAAUCCACAUCUCCACCCCUGCACCUCCUCAUCUCUCCACUGCCUCUGCUGCAUGUGUCCCAUCUUGUCUCUUCCCUCUUGGGAGCAGCUCUUUGCACUUGGCUGGGUCCUUGAAGAGGAUGUUUGCUGCAGCACAGGGGAAAUAUUUACUGUGGCUUAAUCCUUGUUGUUAAAGCCCAUGUGAUGUUUUCCAGGUGCAUCCAGUGUGAUGUAUUGAAGGUGUGCCCAGGCGCUGGGCCAGUCUGACCCAAAACAGAGGUGUUUUCUUCAAAGCAGUGGAUUUACACAGUAAGGAAUCCUUCUGGACAUUGCUACCAAGAGCUUUGCUGUCAGUAGAAAGGAGAUUUCCCAGUGCUCUCAAAUCCAUUUGCUCCGGAAGGCUGUCUUUAAAGCCAAUGCACUCCAGUGGGAGCUCAGCUCUCUUAUGGCUCAUGGUUUGGUUGCCUUGAUAUCCAGGUGAUUGAUCCUGCCAUCUACAGAGACUAAGCGACACUUCUGCCAUCGCAGUGGGCUACAAGAGAUGAAUAUGACAGGAUGCCUCCAGCCCAUUGUGGGAAGAUACUGCAAUGCAAGAAGGCCUGGAAAGUCUCUGCACUUUGUGUUACCCUCUUUCUAUGGAACACCUUUAUUCUGUGUGUAUACCUUGUACCUUAAGCCCAGCUUCUUCAGUGGUUUCCUUCAUCUCAGUGCUGCUGGACUUCCUACACCUUCUCUGCAGUGCGUUUCCCUGCAGAUGGAAGACUGAGCUUCAAACCAGCAGACACCCUAGACUUCCACCAGGAAAUCUUGCAGCCAAACACAGAUGUUUGUGGGGUUUGGAGUAUUAUGUCCCACAGGCACUGCCAUAGCUGGAUGCUGGAUAAAGGAAUAGUUGGCUGAUAAGUUUUGCAUUGCUUUAUGCCCCUCAUACAGCCUUGCUGAUGGGGAGACCUUGUCCUCAAGCAGCGUGGCUGGUGAUGAGUUGUGGUAGCUAACUGAACAUCAUUCAUUCAGGUUCAGUAUUCCUUACAGUGCUGAACUGUGCUGGAAAGAGCUCCCUUUACAGUAGCCCACCACAUGCUGUGGCCAUUUCCAUCUGCACUCUACCUCCUAAACCCAAGGCUGACUCAGCUCUUCCUCUGCAACCUCUAACUUGUCCAUACCUGGCACAUGGAGCUAGUAGGAAUGAUACUAUCUGCCCUUUACAACUUGAAUUAAGCUUUUCAAUUAAAAGAGCUGCAUCACAUUAGCUCUUCCAGGCUAGAUCAAUUUUAUGCUUUAAUUUGUGGAGUUUUAAUAGGAUGGUGAGACUAUUCAAAGUCUUGCUCUCUUCUCUGAGCUCAUUCUGCUGGUACUGGCAGGACCUCAGCACUAAGUUGCUGCUCCCAGUGACUUUAAUGGUACCAGACACAUUCCUUGGCAACGUCUGUUUGCCCUUUUUAUCAGGAGUUUAACAUUGCCCUUAAAGGGCAUGUUUUGCAGUCAUAAAUAUGCUCUUUGCAUUUACACAGUUGUGGUCUUGCAAGUGAUAACGGGUAGAGAUGUUCACUUGAAACUCUUUACAGAAUAAACAGCAGCAGUCAAAGCUGAGCAUGACAUUCUCAGUGCUUUGUUAGCACAGAUGUACUGGGAAAAGGGCCCCAAAAGCCCUGGAACCAAGCAUAGAAAAUGGGAUUCUUGGAAGUAAAUGUUAACCCUGUUUAGUAGGUGGCAGCUUCCAAGAGGAACGGCGUUCUAAGGAAUGCUGCAGCAUUGCAGCAUUCAUUCCAACUGGUGCUGUUGUCAGAGGCAACAGAUAACCUCCUUGUGGAUUCAUACCUGGAAUAUAUCUACAUGUUGAAUUAACCAUGACCACUGUGAGUGUCAGCAUCCCUGCAGCAGUGUAACCUGCUGUUCCUAUGUUGACUAAGUGCUCAUCUGAAAGCCACCACCUCCAAAGCCUUUCCAUGCUGCAAGUGUGGUGUUUUCUCACCUGCUUGGACCACAUCUGCAUUCUGCUGGAGACCAUCUCAAUUUCCCUUCCUACCUGCUACCCAGCAGUCAUGAAUUGAGUUGCAUAUGAGCAUUAAGGAAAGAACAAGCUCCUGUGGCUUAGAACCUCCUUUUUUUGGGGUGACUGAUCUCUAUAUGAAGGGGAAUCUGCUAUUCUUCAACUAGUGAUUUGUCACUUGUUUUUACACAGGGAGCUGAGCACUGAUGGUCAGGAAUACACUGUGUUGCAGCCUCAUGGCAGUGCUUCCAUGCUGUUGUGUCUGCAGUGUAGAACUAGGAGCAGGCUUACUGAAGGUGAGGUCAUGCUCAUCUGUGACUUCCCCAAAAGCUGCCAGAUGGAAGUGGCUUUGCAGAACAAUGAGGAUAACACUGUUGUGAUGGAGCUGUCUCAUUAAACAUACUCCAAAUGAAUCAGGUAUCUGUUUGGUAUGUCAUGGCUGCAUUGGGGAAUGCCACUUGUUUUGAUGUUAACCACCGGUGUCCUAUCAUGAAGUGCUAUAUCCCUGUGGCUGUGGGAAUUCACCUUAUUGUGGGGUCCUCAUCCUUUUCAAGCCUCUGUACUUAAGAUGUUGGUGGCUUGAGCUGCAGGUCACCAAGCACCUCUUGCAAUCAUGACCUUGCUUUCUUUUCUGCCCUCAAAAUCAAGUCUUCACAUCACCCCAAUUAAAAAGCCUUUUUCUUUCCUGCAGCUCAUUC
Molecule: long non-coding RNA, 3443 nt
Organism: Neopsephotus bourkii (Bourke's parrot)
Lineage: Eukaryota; Metazoa; Chordata; Aves; Psittaciformes; Psittacidae
Exons: 6
Source: RefSeq, a predicted model, not a curated record